This 425-nucleotide ribosomal RNA is filed under the name uncultured bacterium. Its description in RNAcentral is "partial 16S ribosomal RNA". It matches the Rfam family "Bacterial small subunit ribosomal RNA", at positions 354 to 796 of the family's 1533-position model. The record is from RNAcentral.
GUUAGGAAUAUUGGACAAUGGGCGCAAGCCUGAUCCAGCCAUGCCGCGUGAGUGAUGAAGGCCUUAGGGUUGUAAAGCUCUUUUGUCCGGGAAGAUAAUGACUGUACCGGAAGAAUAAGCCCCGGCUAACUCCGUGCCAGCAGCCGCGGUAAUACGAAGGGGGCUAGCGUUGCUCGGAAUCACUGGGCGUAAAGGGCGCGUAGGCGGACUCUUAAGUCGGGGGUGAAAGCCCGGGGCUCAACCCUGGAAUAGCCGUCGAUACUGAGAGGUUGGAGUUCGGAAGAGGUUGGUGGAAUUGCGGGUGUAGAGGUGAAAUUCGUAGAUAUUCGCAAGAACACAGGUGGCGAAGGCAGCCAACUGGUCGGAUACUGACGCUGAGGCGCGAAAGCGUGGGGAGCAAACAGGAUUAGAAACCCCAGUAGUCC